This 465-nucleotide unclassified non-coding RNA is filed under the name Hevea brasiliensis (rubber tree). The record is from RNAcentral. Lineage: Eukaryota; Viridiplantae; Streptophyta; Magnoliopsida; Malpighiales; Euphorbiaceae.
AAGCCAUAAAGGUUAUAGAAUAAAAGAGUUAUACUUCAAGCUUUGGUUGAGGUCAAAUGUAUUACGUGUAUAAUGCAUCUCAAAGAAAAAUGGAAACAUAUGUAAAAAAUUUGUCUGAAACAAAAAUGAUGAAAAUAAAAUAGAUUUAGGAAAUUGAAUAAGGCAGAUCCAUUAUAAGAGGCGCCCAAAAGAAACCCAAAGAGCUUUAAGAAAUUUAGGUACCUUUCUAUCAAUAGCUCAAUACCCAUGAUUAGCAGAUAAAAAGGAAAAUCAACAACCCACAAUGACUCAUCAUAGAAACAAGAUAUUGAAAUUUCCAUAGAGACACAAUUCCAUAUUAGAAACCAAAUCCCAUGCUUUGAUAAAAGGCCUUUUCAAAUGCCUCACUGUUUUUUGCACAUAGAAGGACAAACAACCCAAAGAACAAUAUUACAUACAAUUAAGCAGGUAAAUUUUCAUGUCAUG